AUUGAACGCUAGCGGGAUGCCUUACACAUGCAAGUCGAACGGAGUGUCGAACGGGUGAGUAAUGUAUCGGCACGUGCCCAGUAGCGGGGGAUAACUACGCGAAAGCGUACCUAAUACCGCAUACUAUUGGAGCGGCCGAUAUAGGAUUAGCUAGUUGGUGGGGUACCGGCUAACCAAGGCGACGAGCCGUAGCUGAGUUGAGAGGAGGACCAGCCAAACGGGGACUGAGACACGGCCCAGACUCCUACGGGAGGCAGAAGUGGGGAAUUUUGGACAAUGGGGGAAACCCUGAACCAGCCAGCCCGCGUGUGCGAUGAAGGCCUUCGGGUUGUAAAGCACUUUUGUCAGGAAAGCGGUACCUGCAGAAUAAGCACCGGCUAACUACGUGCCAGCAGCCGCGGUAAUUC
Molecule: ribosomal RNA, 407 nt
Filed under: uncultured bacterium
Lineage: Bacteria
Description: partial 16S ribosomal RNA
Rfam family: Bacterial small subunit ribosomal RNA
Source: RNAcentral